Molecule: ribosomal RNA, 254 nt
Filed under: uncultured bacterium
Lineage: Bacteria
Description: partial 16S ribosomal RNA
Rfam family: Bacterial small subunit ribosomal RNA
Source: RNAcentral
UACGAAGGGGGGCUAGCGUUGCUCGGAAUGACUGGGCGUAAAGGGCGCGUAGGCGGAUGGCACAGUCAGAUGUGAAAUUCCCGGGCUUAACCUGGGGGCUGCAUUUGAUACGUGUGAUCUAGAGUGAGGAAGAGGGUCGUGGAAUUCCCAGUGUAGAGGUGAAAUUCGUAGAUAUUGGGAAGAACACCGGUGGCGAAGGCGGCGACCUGGUCCUUGGACUGACCGCUGAGGCGCGAAAGCGUGGAGCGAACAGG